Molecule: long non-coding RNA, 3379 nt
Filed under: Capsicum annuum
Lineage: Eukaryota; Viridiplantae; Streptophyta; Magnoliopsida; Solanales; Solanaceae
Description: long non-coding RNA (CANN_LNC004353)
Source: RNAcentral
UUUGUCAUUUUAUCUAUUAUUGUAAUGUAGUAUAAAUAGAACAUUGUAAGGUUUAUUUCUUUAGUUGAUCAUUAUUAUUGAAGAAUACUUCUCUUAGAGUGAGAGAGAGUCCAAUUGAAACUAGGGCAUAACAUAAGGGUGGAUUCUCUUGUGUGUUGCAUUUUGCUUGAUACGUUGGUGCUUGGGUGGUGGACGCCUCUCUUGUGUCAAUUGUAAGAUUUAGGUAUUUAUUGUGUGAAGUUUUAAAGGUCCAAUAGUGGAAUAUGCUUUUGGAUUGUUAAGACUACAUCAACACUUGUCUAACUACCUAUCUUGUAUCUUGUUUUAGUUUCGGCUUCUUGUGUUGUUAAUGUAACCCGUUUGUUCUUGUUGCUAUUGUAAUAUUGUGGAGCUUCAUCUUGUAUUGCUAAACUUGUUUUUGGCUGGCUGUUUUGGUGUAUUAACACCCUGUAUCCUCUAUUUUCUUGUUCUAGAUAGUGAAUCCAAGAGAGGUCCCCAUUUGGUACACGAUUUGUUGUGAUUUGUGGACUGUUUUGGGGUGUGAUUUUGUAUUCCCUUGUUUGUUCCGUAUCAUUUGGUAUCAGAUCAAGGUUUGAUUUUGUUCCAACAAAAUCAAUCUUGGGAUUGUUAUCUUUUAAAAAAAAGUUACUGUUCACGUUUUUAGGGUCUUUCAAAAAACUUAAUUUUUGUGUGUUUCUAGUGUUAGAUCUUGUUCCCUAACACUAUUAGAGUAUAGAAAUUGAAAAUCCUAACAAAAAAAGAAGUGUCAAAAUCAAAAAUCCCCCAAAAAUAUACUAAACCCAUUUUUAAUCCUAGGUCAAAUUUUGAGUUUUUGAUUUUGCGUUUUUCUUGUGUUUUUAGUGUUAGAUUUGUGUUCUCUAACACUAUAGAAGUAUAGGGUUCAAAUUUGAGCUAAAUUGGAGGUUAUUUAAGCCAUCCACCAAUAUUGAGCUUGAGGUUGAAGAAACUUGAGGGUGGGAUCUUAUUGUGGGAGGUUGUUAUAAAAUAACGUGUGUUUUGUGUUGUAGGUUUUGCUUUGUAUUAUUGUGUGUGACGUUGCGGAUUGAUUUGGUAUCUUGAUUGGACCGUAACUUGAAAGGUUAUUUUUGAUACCACCACAAUGGAACCUGAGGCUUCAAAUGCUCAAACAAUAGAUAAUAAUGCCAUCAAUCUCAUUUUGGCUCGCCUUGAAACUAUGUCCCGAGUGUGGUUAGGUUGAAUGUGGGUCUUGAGAAAUUAGAUACGAAUGUGGAAUCAAUGAGUGGGAGAUUAGAACGUGUGGAAAGCCAAAGGAGUCGACCUUCUACCCCUCAAAACAUUUUCCCAACUAAUACUUCCGAGACCUUGCACCAAAUGCAAUAUACACCAAUUGCCAUAAAUCAAACCAAUCUUUACUCCCGAAGCCAAGAUCAAGAUAGACCAAGCCAUCCUUCACUCCACCAAGUCCAACAAGAAGGGCUUGUAAUCCAAAUACCAUCACCAAACCCGAACCCUCCUAUCCAAACUCCACUUGACCAAAAACCUCACUAUCCAAAUCCAAUCCCGCCACUACAAGCUCUACUUAACCCAAAUAGACCCAUCCAUGUUGAGGGCUAUGGUAGGGGAGGACAACAUGAUGGUUAUGGGCCGNNNNNNNNNNNNNNNNNNNNNNNNNAGGAGUCGACCUUCUACCCCUCAAAACAUUUUCCCAACUAAUACUUCCGAGACCUUGCACCAAAUGCAAUAUACACCAAUUGCCAUAAAUCAAACCAAUCUUUACUCCCGAAGCCAAGAUCAAGAUAGACCAAGCCAUCCUUCACUCCACCAAGUCCAACAAGAAGGGCUUGUAAUCCAAAUACCAUCACCAAACCCGAACCCUCCUAUCCAAACUCCACUUGACCAAAAACCUCACUAUCCAAAUCCAAUCCCGCCACUACAAGCUCUACUUAACCCAAAUAGACCCAUCCAUGUUGAGGGCUAUGGUAGGGGAGGACAACAUGAUGGUUAUGGGCCGUAUGAUGACGUUUACUUGAGGGAAGAAAGAAUGAGGUGUAGACAUGGGGAGUUAGGCCGAGAGGUGAGGGAUGACCACCCAAACCGAGAUGUAGGUCUCAAUUCCAUCAAAGUGAGCCUUCCCGUUUUCAAAGGUGGGAGUGAUCCCGAAGCCUACCUUGCAUAGGAGUCAUCUUGUGACAAGAUUUUCCAACUUAAUGAUCUCGCCGAAGAAAAAAAAAGUUGUUAUGCUAUAGCUCACUUCGAAGGGUAUGCUAAUACAUGGUGGGAGUAUGUUAAACGAUUUGAGAAUGAGAUGAUUGGGUGACAACCUCCUCCUUGGUUUCGAUUGAAGAACCUUAUGUGACAAAGGUACUUUUUCGAGACUUAUAGGCAUGAGCUCCUUGCUAAAUUAUAUUAUUUGAAGCAAGGGAACAAGAGUGUCAUGGCUUACUAUGAUAAAUUUCAACAAUUGAUAUUGAAACUUGACCACCGAGGUGAGCAAGUAAGUCAUUACAUUGUGCGCUUCAAGGUUGGGUUAAACAAGGACAUCUCCACUCGCAUGACGCUUCACAAAUUCAACACCAUAGAUGGCAUCUUCCAUGCGGCUUGAGAGGUUGAAAGGGAGCUCAAAGAUAACUCAUUCAUGACUACCCAACCCGAGGCUACCAAGGUUGUCCAAAAACAUCCUCCAAGGUAUGAAGGUAAAUUGAAUUCUACUUCCAAUCCCAAGGGUGGGGCCACAAGGCUAGUGAGUUCCCAAACUAGAGGAACGUGAUCCUAAGAGAGAGAAAAUUGUACUAUCUUGGGGAAGAAGUAGUAAUUGAAUCGGCUAAAUUUGCUGGCAAGGCUCAAGAUGGAGAGCAAAAGGAGGUUAAAAUGCAAGGCGAGGAAGAUGUAGAAGAUAUGUGGCCGUGUGAAGGAGAUUGUGAAGUACCUUUGUAAAAAAGGUGAGGUUAUGAAUUUGUGGGCAAAUUCCUCUCAAGAUGGAGAGGAUAAUACAAGUAUGAUCAUCAUGAUCAUGACACUUUUGAGUAUUUUUUAAGACUAGUCACUAAAGUGCCCUUUUGUUAUUUUGUCUAUUAUUGGAAUGCAGUAUAAAUAGAACAUUGUAGGGUUUAUUUCUUUAGUUGAUCAUUAUUAUUGAAGAAUACUAGAGAGAGUCCAAUUGAAACUAGGGCAUAACAUAAAGGUGGAUUCUCUUGUGUGUUGCAUUUUGCUUGAUACUUUGGUGCUUGGGUGGUGGAUGCCUCUCUUGUAUCAACUGUAAGAGUUAGGUGUUUGUUGUGUAAAGUUUUAAAGGUCCAAGAGUGAAAUAUUCUCUUGGGUUGUUAAGACUACAUCAACACUUGUCUAACUACCUAUCUUGUAUCUUGUUUUAGUUUCGGCUUCUUGUGUUGUUAAUGUA